RNAcentral lists this unclassified non-coding RNA (205 nucleotides) under plant metagenome. RNAcentral's name for it is "partial contains small subunit ribosomal RNA, internal transcribed spacer 1, and 5.8S ribosomal RNA". The record is from RNAcentral.
GUAGGUGAACCUGCGGAAGGAUCAUUAUUGAAUGAAUGUAGAGUUGGUUGUCGCUGGCCUUUACUGGCAUGUGCACGCCUUCUCUUUCAUCCACACACACCUGUGCACCUGUGAGACGGAGAGCUUGCCCUUUAGCUAGGGUGUCUUCUCCGUCUGCCAAUACACAAACUCAUAUCAUAAUUUGAAUGUAAUCGAUGUAACGCAU